AACGAACGCUGGCGGCAUGCCUAACACAUGCAAGUCGAACGAGACCUUCGGGUCUAGUGGCGCACGGGUGCGUAACGCGUGGGAACCUGCCCUUAGGUUCGGAAUAACUCCCCGAAAGGGGUGCUAAUACCGGAUAAUGUCUUCGGACCAAAGAUUUAUCGCCUUUGGAUGGGCCCGCGUUGGAUUAGCUAGUUGGUAGGGUAAAAGCCUACCAAGGCGACGAUCCAUAGCUGGUCUGAGAGGAUGAUCAGCCACACUGGGACUGAGACACGGCCCAGACUCCUACGAGAGGCAGCAGUGGGGAAUAUUGGACAAUGGGCGAAAGCCUGAUCCAGCAAUGCCGCGUGAGUGAUGAAGGCCUUAGGGUUGUAAAGCUCUUUUACCCGGGAUGAUAAUGACAGUACCGGGAGAAUAAGCUCCGGCUAACUCC
Molecule: ribosomal RNA, 430 nt
Filed under: uncultured bacterium
Lineage: Bacteria
Description: partial 16S ribosomal RNA
Rfam family: Bacterial small subunit ribosomal RNA
Source: RNAcentral